UAUAUUCAAACACAGGACACUUCCAUUCAAAAACACCUAGGAGUCUCUCCCCAUCCCUGCUGGGCUAUCAGAGGAGGCCUUGUGAAGAGUCAGGACUCUCAUCACUACCAAUGGUUGCAAGCCCCAUGUCAGAGGGACCACAUGGGAUCUGGAACUCCCAUUCUUAUCCAACAAUAAGGAGGAGCCAGUCCAACGUCCAGAAAGAUGGGACCACUUUUCUCUUACACUUCCUAUCAACAACCCCAUAACCAGGGAAAGGACAGAGGGAUGAGAAUCCAAAAGAAUGUUCUACCUCUGGGUUUUACUCUGCUUGGAACAAACUCUUCUGCAUCAACAUACAUCUGAGUUGUAAAGAUCUAUCUCACAACUUCCUGGAAGAAUAUUUUCGGAUCUUCCCCAGCACGCAUAACAGCUCCUUCUUUUGGACUUCAAAAUGCAAAAAGAAUUACGAGUGGUACAUGUUGGCAGAUAUGCGGAUCCUUAAGUCAAGACAUUAAAAAAGAGGUCCGUUCGUUAGCCAUCAUUUUAUUCUUAACCUCAAGCAGAGUCUUCAGUCUACUCCUCUGGGCCUCCCCAACACAGCAUGCCUGAGGCUUUUACAGACUAGAGAACUUCUGCAAAAACUGCUUGGCAAGAACAUGCAGAUGGAAACAAAGGAUAUUCCUAGUUACCUUUUCUGUGUUGGGCUGACAGUUCUGGGAAGUAAUUUGUAAGGAUAUUUGAAUGAUUGGAACCAGAGCAGAAGCACAGAAGUCCUGAAGUCAACAAGGGGUUGAAAAACCCUCACUAUAGGGAGCUCAGGCAGCUCCAAAAGGGGCUGGAGGAAAGAAGUUUUCAGCAGGAGGCUGGCCAUGUGGGUGUUGGGAAGGUGGGCAACUUGGACCAGAGACCUUCCCUAUCAUUUCUCACCAGAGAGAGCUCAUCCUACAGCCCAGUCACACAGAUCAGUUCUGUGUCAAUUCACUAAGAUUCACUACAUCCUGCUGCACACCUGAAAGGUGAAAAGCCCUAAACCGGGCACACACUUAUCUUGAUGACAACAGAGAGGCCCUUCCAAAUGAGCCCUGCUAAAUGUCCCAUAGGAGACCACAACUGUCUUACUCUAAUGCAAUGAAAGUCAAUCUAUUUCUUCCAAAGGCUAUACAAAUAUUUGAUUCAAAUUACGUUUUUA
This is a long non-coding RNA of Fukomys damarensis (Damara mole-rat), 1171 nucleotides long. RefSeq lists it as uncharacterized. The record is from RefSeq and is a predicted model, not a curated record. NCBI's taxonomy places the organism in Eukaryota, Metazoa, Chordata, Mammalia, Rodentia, Bathyergidae. The transcript is spliced from 3 exons.